UAACCUCAUCACAUCAACUUAUUUGUUGAUGUCAUGGACUUGGAUGCUGCCGUGUUAUGACGGCUCAUCUGAAAUCUCUGAGUACAUCUUGAUUUGUGGUGUGUUCGGUGUGAUAAAUCUUCACCGAGUCGACCUUCUGGUCACAUCCACUUGACAUGGCUGUGCUUCCAACAGUCUCCCAUGUGAGACAGCUCCUGACA
This 200-nucleotide unclassified non-coding RNA is filed under the name uncultured Sebacinaceae. RNAcentral's name for it is "sequence contains ITS2". Lineage: Eukaryota; Fungi; Basidiomycota; Agaricomycetes; Sebacinales; Sebacinaceae. The record is from RNAcentral.